RNAcentral lists this long non-coding RNA (722 nucleotides) under Homo sapiens (human). RNAcentral's name for it is "HSALNT0308831". Lineage: Eukaryota; Metazoa; Chordata; Mammalia; Primates; Hominidae. The record is from RNAcentral.
GAAUAAGUUCUCAUGAGAUCUAAUGGUUUUAUAAGGGGCUUCCCUCUUCACCCAGCUCUCAUUCUUCUUCUUCCUUAUGCCAUGUGAAAAAGAUAUGUUUGCUUCCCUUUCCACCAUGAUUGUAAGUUUCCUGAGGCCUCCCCAGCUCUGCAGAACUGUCCUGGGAAAUAUAAUGUACCAUUUGGAUUCUCUGAGAGACAGACACUGAGGGGAAGAACACUCAUCCUGGAAGAAGCCAGCUACCAUGACUUGAGGACACUUAGCCCCAAGGAAAAGCCAUUAGCAAGGAACUGAGACUUCCCGUCAACAGCCAUGUGAGUGGGCCUUCCUGGAAAUUGAUCCUGCAGUUUCAGUCAAGGCUUCAGAUGAUGCAACCCAGAUGCUGAACCAGAAACACCCAGUGAAACCACGCCUAGAUUCCUGACUCUCAGAAACUGUGGGAGAAUAAAUGUUUGUUUUAAGCCACUAAAUUUGGGGGCAAUUUGCUAUGUAACAAUAGGUAACUAAUACAAUAAGUUAAAAUGCAACAUCUGAGAAAUUUAGAACAUAAACUCCUUGAUGAUAAUGUUAUAUUUGUUCUUUGGGAGAAAAAAAAAACUGAAAAGAAAUCUCUUCAUCUUAUUGUGAGGAUGUAAAAUGCAUAUUCCAGCCACAUUAUAUUCAGUUUUCAAAUCACUUUUAUCCACCCAGUUAUCAAGGACCUUGUAUAUACAUUCUAUUAG